Non-coding RNA from Nephila pilipes (giant wood spider), 70 nucleotides. The record is from the annotation of a GenBank genome assembly. NCBI's taxonomy places the organism in Eukaryota, Metazoa, Arthropoda, Arachnida, Araneae, Nephilidae.
GGUUCCAUGGUGAAAUGGUUAGCAUUCUGGAUUUUGGUUCUGGAUUUGAGUUCAAAUCUCGGUGGAACCU